This 447-nucleotide ribosomal RNA is filed under the name bacterium MA3010. RNAcentral describes it as "bacterial SSU rRNA". It matches the Rfam family "Bacterial small subunit ribosomal RNA", at positions 28 to 456 of the family's 1533-position model. The record is from RNAcentral.
GAUGAACGCUGGCGGCGUGCUUAACACAUGCAAGUCGAACGAAGCAACUUAUUACGAUCCCUUCGGGGUGACGAUUUGUUGACUGAGUGGCGGACGGGUGAGUAACGCGUGGGUAACCUACCUUGUACAGGGGGACAACAGUUGGAAACGACUGCUAAUACCGCAUAAGCGCACAGCUUCGCAUGAAGCAGUGUGAAAAGUUUUUUCGGUACAAGAUGGACCCGCGUCUGAUUAGCUAGUUGGUGAGGUAACGGCUCACCAAGGCGACGAUCAGUAGCCGACCUGAGAGGGUGACCGGCCACAUUGGGACUGAGACACGGCCCAAACUCCUACGGGAGGCAGCAGUGGGGAAUAUUGCACAAUGGGCGAAAGCCUGAUGCAGCGACGCCGCGUGAGCGAAGAAGUAUUUCGGUAUGUAAAGCUCUAUCAGCAGGGAAGAUAAUGACG